GUGCUCGCUUCAGCAGCAUAUAUACUAAAAUUGGAAUGAUGCAGAGAAGAUUAGCAUGAUCUCUGUGCAAGGAUGAAAUACAAAUUCAUGAAGCAUUCCAUAUUUUU
This is a small nuclear RNA of Chlorocebus sabaeus (green monkey), 107 nucleotides long. The record is from Ensembl. Lineage: Eukaryota; Metazoa; Chordata; Mammalia; Primates; Cercopithecidae.